UGGGGAAUAUUGCACAAUGGGCGAAAGCCUGAUGCAGCAACGCCGCGUGAGUGAUGAAGGCCUUCGGGUUGUAAAGCUCUGUCUUCUGGGACGAUAAUGACGGUACCAGAGGAGGAAGCCACGGCUAACUACGUGCCAGCAGCCGCGGUAAUACGUAGGUGGCAAGCGUUGUCCGGAUUUACUGGGCGUAAAGGAUGCGUAGGCGGAUACUUAAGUCAGAUGUGAAAAUCCCGGGCUUAACUUGGGAACUGCAUAUGAAACUGGGUAUCUAGAGUGCGGGAGAGGAAAGUGGAAUUCCUAGUGUAGCGGUAAAAUGCGUAGAGAUUAGGAAGAACACCAGUGGCGAAGGCGACUUUCUGGACCGUAACUGACGCUGAGGCAUGAAAGCGUGGGGAGCAAACA
RNAcentral lists this ribosomal RNA (402 nucleotides) under uncultured bacterium. RNAcentral describes it as "bacterial SSU rRNA". It matches the Rfam family "Bacterial small subunit ribosomal RNA", at positions 355 to 774 of the family's 1533-position model. The record is from RNAcentral.